RNAcentral lists this ribosomal RNA (460 nucleotides) under uncultured bacterium. RNAcentral's name for it is "partial 16S ribosomal RNA". It matches the Rfam family "Bacterial small subunit ribosomal RNA", at positions 338 to 795 of the family's 1533-position model. The record is from RNAcentral.
CCUACGGGUGGCAGCAGUGAGGAAUAUUGGUCAAUGGACGAGAGCCUGAACCAGCCAAGUAGCGUGCAGGAUGACUGCCCUACGGGUUGUAAACUUCUUUUAUACAGGGAUAACACGCGGCACGUGUGCCUUUUUGCAUGUACCUUAUGAAUAAGGAUCGGCUAACUCCGUGCCAGCAGCCGCGGUAAUCCGGAGGAUCCGAGCGUUAUCCGGAUUUAUUGGGUUUAAAGGGAGCGUAGAUGGGUCGUUAAGUCAGGUGUGAAAGUUUGCGGCUCAACCGUAAAAGUGCAGUUGAUACUGGAAGCCUUGAGUACAGAUGAGGUAGGCGGAAUUCGUGGUGUAGCGGUGAAAUGCAUAGAUAUCACGAAGAACCCCGAUUGCGAAGGCAGCUUACUAAACUGCGACUGACAUUGAUGCUCGAAGGUGCGGGUAUCAAACAGGAUUAGAUACCCGUGUAGUC